Molecule: non-coding RNA, 1454 nt
Organism: Chiloscyllium plagiosum (whitespotted bambooshark)
Lineage: Eukaryota; Metazoa; Chordata; Chondrichthyes; Orectolobiformes; Hemiscylliidae
Source: RefSeq, a predicted model, not a curated record
CUCAGCCCCAUUCUGUGCUGCAGUUGAGGAGCCCUGUCUGUUCCAUUGUCCUCCAGAGAGAGAGAGAAUCAUCACCUCAAGCUGCAAGCUAGUGCUCACCCCAACAGAAACACAGGCUUUAUUUAUAGUAAGGAGCACAUUGUAAUCUUGGGCGCAGGUCUGCAAGCCUCUAACUGUUUAACGUUGCCUGUUGUGGGUGUGUUCGAGUGUGGAGGCCCCUUAGGCCCGUAUGGUUUCCUGUGGCGCAGAGAGAGCAGGAAACCGCCAGAUUGCCUCCCCCACGGCGGGCCCUUUUCGAAAGGCCGGACGUCAAGCGAGCGGGCCCCCGCUCGUCAAAAAUAUGAAUCGCGCCCACGCGGCCCGGCCUAAAAUGGGCGCCUGCCGCCCCAGUAUCGUGCGCACUUUGCCACUUCCCAUCUCAGUCAGUGCUACGCCUCGGGCGGGAGGGGCAAUGGAACAAGUGACAUAGGAAGUAAAUUACACACAAACAAGAAGUGAACUCCAGGAGCGAGUUUCUCUUUCCAUAUUUUAACACGUGUGGUGUAGAUGGAGCGGAAGGAUUAGAUAGAUUUCCUGUGUUAUCUCGAUUAGAACUGGCACAUGCAAUCUAGUUGUUACUGAAGUAUUACAUUCUGUCCUUAGUUUCUGUUAUCGCGUAGGAAUUUAUAAAGCGAGAAAUUAUCAAUGCAAACCUAAUAAUGAGUAAUUACAAGGACCAUUAACUGUGAUGCAGUGGAAACUAGGGUUGCCAAAUGUGAUUAAGCGUAAUCCGGUACGUUUCAUCGCUUACCCUCACCAGUCCCUGUGGCACACUGAUUCCUACAGCAACUGGAAAGCAAUAAGACCCCAUACGUGGAUGAGAAUCGACUGUAAAUCAACCACAACGCCACCGUUCUCCACCCACCCCGGACAACACACACCAUCACUUCUCAUUUUCGGAAAUUUUAUGUCUGGUAAAGAAUGCGUUCAAAGAAAAUGACAGAAAUAAACUUUAUUUUCAAUAUCACAAUGAUUACUCGCCACAAUUGUAUCCCGGAAAUUGAUCUUCAAUUCCUAAGAGACUCCAGUCACAUUCUGGUAGGGAUCAUUGACGUGUAUUAACGAGUUGAUAUGAUUUGGAGAUGCCGGAGUUGGACUGGCGUGGACAAGGUGGCUGCUUGGCAUUGGCUGGCAAACAGAUAACCAAUUCUGAUAUCAGGAUGCCAUCAACUAAGAUUGAGCCUCCUUUAUUUGGCGUCCAAUUCUCCUGAGAAACCUGACCACAACAAUUGUCAACGUGGUUUCCUGAUGAAAGCAGUUUGCCACUUGCUUCUCUAGACCUUCUGACACAACAAUGUCCCUACAUGUGCCAUGGACAUCAUUCUCUUCCACCCUUCCUUCAUAUUUGCUAAUCCCAAUUCUCCAGCAAUGCAUCUAUAGCCAGAAGGAAACAAAAUACAAAGAUUACAGCCUGG